Molecule: ribosomal RNA, 1177 nt
Filed under: Flavobacterium pokkalii
Lineage: Bacteria; Pseudomonadati; Bacteroidota; Flavobacteriia; Flavobacteriales; Flavobacteriaceae
Description: partial 23S ribosomal RNA
Rfam family: Bacterial large subunit ribosomal RNA
Source: RNAcentral
GUACAAUAAGCAAAAUAAGGGCGUAUGGGGGAUGCCUAGGCUCUCAGAGGCGAAGAAGGACGUGAUAAGCUGCGAAAAGCUACGGGGAUCUGCACAUGAGAAUUGAUCCGUAGAUAUCCGAAUGGGGCAACCCACUAUGUUGAAGACAUAGUACACCGAUAGGUGGGCAAACCCGCUGAACUGAAACAUCUAAGUAGGCGGAGGAGAAGAAAACAAAAGUGAUUCCGUAAGUAGUGGCGAGCGAACGCGGAUUAGCCCAAACCAAAGUUGUUACGGCAAUUUUGGGGUUGUAGGACCACGACAUUUUAUGUACAAGGAACCGGAAGUUGCUGGAAAGUAACACCAUAGAGGGUGAUAGUCCCGUAUGGGUAACGAGUAUAAUAAAUAGUGGUAUCCUGAGUAGGGCGGGGCACGUGAAACCCUGUCUGAAUCUGGCGGGACCAUCCGCUAAGGCUAAAUACUCCUGAGAGACCGAUAGUGAACCAGUACUGUGAAGGAAAGGUGAAAAGAACCGUGAAUAACGGAGUGAAAUAGAUCCUGAAACCAUACGCUUACAAGCGGUCGGAGCCCAUUCGUUGGGUGACGGCGUGCCUUUUGCAUAAUGAGCCUACGAGUUAACGUUGCUGGCAAGGAUAAGUACUUCAGGUAUGGAUCCGUAGCGAAAGCGAGUCUGAAUAGGGCGCUUUAGUCAGUAGUGUUAGACGCGAAACCGUGUGAUCUACCCAUGGGCAGGUUGAAGCUGUGGUAACACACAGUGGAGGACCGAACCGGUUGACGUUGAAAAGUCUUCGGAUGACCUGUGGGUAGGGGUGAAAGGCCAAUCAAACUCGGAAAUAGCUCGUACUCCCCGAAAUGCAUUUAGGUGCAGCGCUGAGCCAAGUUAUAUAGAGGUAGAGCUACUGAUUGGAUGCGGGGGCUUCACCGCCUACCAAUUCCUGACAAACUCCGAAUGCUAUAUAAUGUUUCUCAGCAGUGAGGGCUUGGGUGCUAAGGUCCAAGUCCGAGAGGGAAAGAACCCAGACCAUCAGCUAAGGUCCCCAAAUAUAUGCUAAGUUGAAAGAACGCGGUUUGUCUGCCCAGACAGCUAGGAUGUUGGCUUGGAAGCAGCCAUUCAUUUAAAGAGUGCGUAACAGCUCACUAGUCGAGCGGACGAGCAUGGAUAAUAAUCGGGCAUAAG